This 695-nucleotide long non-coding RNA is filed under the name Rhopalosiphum maidis (corn leaf aphid). RNAcentral describes it as "uncharacterized LOC113558220". The record is from RNAcentral. Lineage: Eukaryota; Metazoa; Arthropoda; Insecta; Hemiptera; Aphididae.
UAAAUUUUGGCAGUUUCUAAUAAAGCUGUUGCAUAGUCUUACAUGUGAAGAAAGACUAGUGGAAUAAUGUUGAAUAACUUUCAAAUGUUUAUUGGUUUUGUCAAAAAAAGAGAAUAGAAAUCAAUACUUAUUUUGAUUUAUUUUUUCAAUGUUUAAAUACGUAUGACUUUGGUGACUUCUUAAUAAAGCUUUUGCAUAGUCUGACAUGUGAAGUAAGACUUGUGAAAUCAUGGUGAAUAAUUUUAAGAUGUUUAUUGGAUUUUUCAAAAAAAGAGCAUAGAAAUCAAUACUUAUUUUGAUUUAUCUUUUCAAUGUUUAAAUACUAAUGAAUUUUGGGACUUUCUAAUAAAGCUUUUGCAUAGGGUUACAUGUGAAGAAAGACUAGUGGAAUAAUGGUGAAUAACUUUCAGAUGGUUAUUGGUUUUGUCAAAUAAAGAGCAUAGAAAUGAAUACUGAUUUUGAUUUAUUUUUUCAACGUUUAAAUACCAAUGAAUUUUGGCACUUUCUAAUAAAGCUUUUGCAUUCGCUUACAUGUGAACAGAGACUAGUAGAAUAAUGUUGAAUCAUUUUAAGAAGCCUUUUGGUUUUGUCAAAAAAAGAGCAUAGAUAUCAAUACUUGAUUAUCUCAAUAAUACAAAUUGCUCUAUAGUUUCCAAAAAAAAAACUGAUUUUUGAAGGCAAUUUAUCGCAAUCUU